RNAcentral lists this long non-coding RNA (1010 nucleotides) under Anser cygnoides (Swan goose). RNAcentral describes it as "lncRNA (ENSACDG00005009591.1)". Lineage: Eukaryota; Metazoa; Chordata; Aves; Anseriformes; Anatidae. The record is from RNAcentral.
AUGCUUUACUUUACUAUUUUUUGUUUUGAAUCUUUCUGUGUUUUAGUGAUUACCCAUAGUAGAAACCUGGUUUACAACAUUGGCUUCAUGAAUACUGCAUUAUCAAGAACAGCAUACUUCUUCUCCUCUUCUCCUAAAGAGGAGGAGUGAGAGAGUGGUUGUGGUGGAGUUCAGCUACCCAGCAAGGUAAAAAACUACCACACUUAUGCAGUCAGAAACUCUGAGCAUGCCUACUGAAUCAGAGUGUGUAGGUAAGUGAACAAAUAAGAAUGGCUGUUUUGUAAAUCACUCUCAAACUUCACUGUAUACUAAGCAUAAAAUCUGUUCAGUCGUUUACUGCUUGAACAGAUAUUUAGGACUGUUGGUGGCAGAUAAGUUGGAUUUUGUGAUUGCCAGUGGCAGCUAACAAGACAACUACACAUCUAAGUCCACUUUAAAAAUCUUGCCCUUUGUGCCUAUCUAGCUCUUCUACAUUGCCAGUAAAACAGUAACUACUGUCAUGAAUCCAUUUUAUAAUCAAUCUAGUGGUGCAGGUUUGCUUGAAUGAACAAGGAGGCUACUUUUAAUCUAAAGUGGAACUAAAACUAGCAGCAUAAGCUUGCUGCUAAAUUUCCUCAACAACUCCAAUCAAAUAACUACAGUUAAGAAACAACAACAUUGACAACAACAACAAAACACACGACAUUUUUAAAAAGGCAUUUGAAACCAGUUGGAGUGCACAGAUGUUGAAGUCAUACAAGGGUGAUCAUCUGGAACUUAGGCACUGAAGUUUAAAAGUGUAAAACCCUUUUGCUCUGAGUGAUUACUGAACAGGGCAUCUGGCUCAUGAAAGAAAAGUUUAAUUUUAUAUAGUAUAAAUGACAAAAUGGAUUGCUAUUAAUUAGCCAUGUUGUUACUGAAGUGGCUUUAUUUAUAGACUACAGUUCUUCCGUACACUCUUCGAGAAACACUAAACACAGAACAAAUAAUAUAAUCUCUUCCCAAAUAAAUGGCUCACUGCAAAUAUUGCA